CCUACGGGAGGCAGCAGUGGGGAAUAUUGCACAAUGGGGGAAACCCUGAUGCAGCAACGCCGCGUGAGUGAAGAAGUCAUUCGUGAUGUAAAGCUCUAUCAGCAGGGAAGAAAAUGACGGUACCUGAGUAAGAAGCCCCGGCUAACUACGUGCCAGCAGCCGCGGUAAUACGUAGGGGGCAAGCGUUAUCCGGAUUUACUGGGUGUAAAGGGGGCGCAGACGGCAGCGCAAGCCAGGAGUGAAAGCCCGGGGCCCAACCCCGGGACUGCUCUUGGAACUGCGCGGCUGGAGUGCAGGAGGGGCAG
This 305-nucleotide ribosomal RNA is filed under the name uncultured bacterium. Its description in RNAcentral is "bacterial SSU rRNA". It matches the Rfam family "Bacterial small subunit ribosomal RNA", at positions 338 to 660 of the family's 1533-position model. The record is from RNAcentral.